This 854-nucleotide ribosomal RNA is filed under the name Russula sp. RNAcentral's name for it is "partial large subunit ribosomal RNA". It matches the Rfam family "Eukaryotic large subunit ribosomal RNA", at positions 97 to 929 of the family's 3401-position model. The record is from RNAcentral. Lineage: Eukaryota; Fungi; Basidiomycota; Agaricomycetes; Russulales; Russulaceae.
AGCGGGAAAAGCUCAAAUUUGAAAUCUGGUGGUCUUUGGCCACCCGAGUUGUAAUUUAGAGAAGCGUCUUCCGCGCUGGACCGUGCACAAGUCUCCUGGAAUGGAGCGUCAUAGAGGGUGAGAAUCCCGUCUUUGGCACGGACACACCAGGGCUUUUGUGAUGCGCUCUCGAAGAGUCGAGUUGUUUGGGAAUGCAGCUCAAAAUGGGUGGUGAACUCCAUCUAAAGCUAAAUAUUGGCGAGAGACCGAUAGCGAACAAGUACCGUGAGGGAAAGAUGAAAAGCACUUUGGAAAGAGAGUGAAACAGUACGUGAAAUUGUUGAAAGGGAAACGCUUGAAGUCAGUCGCGUUGACCGAGACUCAGCCUUGCCUCGGCUUGGUGUACUUCUCGGCCGACGGGUCAGCAUCAAUUUUGCCCCUUGGAUAAUGGCGAGGGAAAUGUGACACCAUUACGGUGUGUUAUAGUCUCUCGUCGCAUGCAAGGGUCGGGAUUGAGGAACUCAGCACGCGCCUUUGGGUGUCGGGGCUUUGCCCACGAUACGUGCUUAGGAUGUUGGCGUAAUGGCUUUAAACGACCCGUCUUGAAACACGGACCAAGGAGUCUAACAUGCCCGCGAGUGUUCGGGUGGAAAACCCGUGCGCGCAAUGAAAGUGAAAGUUGGGACCUCUGUCGUGGAGGGCACCGACGCCCGGACCAGACCUUCUGUGACGGCUCUGCGGUAGAGCGUGUAUGUUAGGACCCGAAAGAUGGUGAACUAUGCCUGAAUAGGGUGAAGCCAGAGGAAACUCUGGUGGAGGCUCGUAGCGAUUCUGACGUGCAAAUCGAUCGUCAAAUUUGGGUAUAGGGGCGAAAG